RNAcentral lists this ribosomal RNA (463 nucleotides) under uncultured bacterium. Its description in RNAcentral is "partial 16S ribosomal RNA". It matches the Rfam family "Bacterial small subunit ribosomal RNA", at positions 28 to 507 of the family's 1533-position model. The record is from RNAcentral.
GAUGAACGCUGACAGAAUGCUUAACACAUGCAAGUCGAUGGGGAAGUGGUGCUUGCACCAUGGUAACCAAGGCGGACGGGUGAGUAACGCGUAAGGAACUUACCUGCGGGACCGGGAUAACAGCAGGAAACUGCUGACAAGACCGGAUAAGGUCAUUAAGCUGCAUAGCUUAGUGAUGAAAGGAGACGCCUGCGGAGAGCCUUGCGUCCUAUUAGCUAGUUGGAGGGGUAACGGCCCACCAAGGCGAAGAUAGGUAGCCGGCCUGAGAGGGUGGACGGCCACAAGGGGACUGAGAUACGGCCCUUACUCCUACGGGAGGCAGCAGUGGGGAAUAUUGGACAAUGGGGGCAACCCUGAUCCAGCAAUUCUGUGUGCACGAAGACGGUUUUCGGAUUGUAAAGUGCUUUCAGCAGGGAAGAAGGAAGUGACGGUACCUGCAGAAGAAGCGACGGCUAAAUACGUG